UCAUAAAUGACAUGAUACAAAUACAAAAGCAAUAAAAGAAGCAAAUAUGGAAGCAAAUGCUGGAUAAGCAAGUUUUAUUAGCAAAAUGAAAGCUUAUUAUCAUUUGAUUACAUCGGAAAAUGAAGAUAUUAAUUGUAAAAGCACGUUUAGGAUACAACACUUAUUUUUACUGCGGCGAUAUUAAGUAAGGCCACUUGUAAAAACAUGAAAGAAGUACGAAUUUGAGCAUUGAGCACCGAUACGAAGGGAAACACCUGAAAAGUGUAGAAUUAAAUCGACUGUUAAAAUCCUCCGUAAGCAUGGGACGUUACACCUUCACUCAAUAUUAUAUACAGCUGGCAAUUCGGGUAUUUGGCAUAUUAAAAGAAUCGCUAAGAAAUGUAACAGCUGUUCGAAUGUAACAAGGCAUGCAAUGUUUGUCCAUAAUUUACUUUAGUAUUACUAAAAAGCUUAUGUUACAUUAAAACAACAUUGACCACAUAUACGGAUAUCCCAUUAAGCUGUACAUGAAAUCACUCAAAAAACAUUGGAGACCUUGAAUCUUCUAAGAGCUAUGAGGGCGCUGAUAAAAUAUCGUGUGGUAUCCUUAAGUGACCUGUUAAUCCACUGCCCGAAGCAAUAUGUGCUAAAAACGUGAUGAUCGCGGAUAUCACAGGUAUAGCAGGCG
Molecule: long non-coding RNA, 667 nt
Organism: Acromyrmex echinatior (Panamanian leafcutter ant)
Lineage: Eukaryota; Metazoa; Arthropoda; Insecta; Hymenoptera; Formicidae
Source: RefSeq, a predicted model, not a curated record